CUGGCUCAGGACGAACGCUGGCGGCGUGCUUAACACAUGCAAGUCGAACGAGGUGGAUUUUAACACUGAAUGCUUGAGAAUGUAACUUCGAGCGUUGUGGCGGCUUGAACUUACGGUCAAGAAAUAAUCGAGCAUUGAGUGUUAAAAGACACCGAGUGGCAAACGGGUGAGUAACGCGUAGACAACCUGCCGCAAAGAUGGGGACAACAGUCCGAAAGGACUGCUAAUACCGAAUGUUGUCAAGCUCCCGCAUGAGAAACUGAUUAAAGAUGGCCUCUACUUGUAAGCUAUCGCUUUGCGAUGGGUCUGCGUCUGAUUAGCUAGUUGGUGGGGUAACGGCCUACCAAGGCGACGAUCAGUAGCCGGUCUGAGAGGAUGAACGGCCACAUUGGAACUGAGACACGGUCCAGACUCCUACGGGAGGCAGCAGUGGGGAAUCUUCCGCAAUGGGCGAAAGCCUGACGGAGCAACGCCGCGUGAGUGAAGAAGGGUU
RNAcentral lists this ribosomal RNA (493 nucleotides) under Pseudoselenomonas ruminantium. RNAcentral's name for it is "bacterial SSU rRNA". It matches the Rfam family "Bacterial small subunit ribosomal RNA", at positions 19 to 417 of the family's 1533-position model. Lineage: Bacteria; Bacillati; Bacillota; Negativicutes; Selenomonadales; Selenomonadaceae. The record is from RNAcentral.